GAGAACGGGGGUAAUGUAAUGUCUGUAGGUAGGAGAGGAGAGGAGAGCAGAGUAGUGGUGCGAGGUUGGAGAGGGAGGAGGCGGGGGGCAGAAAGAGGGGACCAGAAACCGUCUAAAAGGAGGUGGGUAAGAGAGGGAGGGAGGAGGAGAGGUGGGCGUAGCUAGAGAGGCUUAAGACAGGGGGGUGGAUCGACGGUAGAGAGGGGGAGGUGGCUAACUAACCAAGAAGGAGGCAAAGAACCCGACUAAGAGGGAGAGGUAGACACAGAACCGAACUCUCCUAGCCGUCCUCUUUGUUCCACCUACGCUUGUUCACGAACCUAACACCGAGGCCGCUCGAGAACUUAUAGAGCCCUGGCGAAGGACGAUGCUCAGAGUGAACUUAGCGACCCUUUCUCCGCUCGUCGUAGACUGUACGAUAACGGCGUCUUGUUAGACAUCUUCCUGUGGGGAAAUGGGAAAGCUAUUACGUUCCCGUCUCCUUAAGGCAGCUUGUCGAUAGGCUGCAGAAGCCCAAACUGGUACCCAGACCAAGUCCGUUGGGGCAGUACCUGGUCGUCCGCAUGACCUUGUCGUACGAACCUCGCCGUCUCAGCGUCUUGGAGGGUCCAAUGCUCUACUUGGCGCCGCUGCCGCGGUAAGGCAUACCUUCGCUCCGCGUAGUCCUACCGGUCAAGAAUCCUAAGACCCCCAGGCCACUUCGAUCGAGCUCACCGUCACGCGACUUGAUACCCUCGAGGUUGCGCUAGUUCCGACUCGUAGACUUGUAACCACCACCAAACUCCUAGCCACUCUCCGCAGACCCACGACUCGUGUUGGAAAGAAACCUAUUACACCUGUAGUUGGAAUUGUGGUCACCGGUACUAGAGAAGCCAGUCUCAAGGUUACGCUUGUUGCGGAGAGUUCGGAGUGUCGUUGUACGACCCACGAGGGCAUGACUACGGUGGCGGGUCCGGUGACUCGAUUCUAACGUAGGAAUGGCUUGAAUGCCAAAUCUGCUGCUCGUCGGUCUCGGCAAGGGAAGAAACUUACGAAAGCUUGUAGGAAACCCCUUGAAAAGGGACUACGGUCUCCUGUAACUAGUUUCUGGUCCGUCAUCAAGGGACCUGCCGGCCGCAAAUCGCACGUUCUCCUUUUUAUAACUUCCUCACGUGCCCGUUAAAAGUCCUCCACGAUCGUGUUCGAAAAGGGUGUCUUUACUAUUACGGAAGGUAUCACAAGGAAGAAGUUCAAAGUUGGGUCGAGGACCGGGUUUACACAGGAGGGUAUUGAAGAACAAUCGAGGUUCAAGGUAACUCCUUGUUGAAGGCUUGAUACCUCGAUGAUGUUAUUACAGUAGACAAUCGAUGUUAGUAGGAUCGCCUCCGUUAUUGUCAAGUCCUUUAAGUGUCUCUUCAAAAGCCCGUUCCUGAUGGUGGCGAGUCGUCCAAUCGGGGAUACCACAUACCGGGGGAAGUCCAAGAUAGUCCGUAGGGCGAAGUAUAAUAGUGGUCGGCGGACGGAAAGUCUCGCGUAAACUACUUGAUCUCCGCCGAUACGGACACCAGUCACCUUAGUUGAACGUCAUGGUCGUAGGACCUUUGCAUCAGGGACCAUAAGGUGUUUGGCGUGUGGCAAAACGACCGGUACCUCGAAGUAGCAGCUCUCGUCCGUCGAACCUGUUGUAUUAAGAACCAUCUCUCCUUCAAUGACCCUCCUUAGAACAUCGAGGGCCGAAGGGAUCACGUCGGGGAGUACGACGUGAUCUGUACUCUGUAAACCACGGUCUUAACAGAUUAACCUUAAGACUGUUAGGACCACGAUGGUAGGGACCUUUACACAGAAGACAUAGUUCUCGAUUACGGUCAAGUUGCUAAUCAGCUGGUCGUCCGAGUUGUAGAGAGUGAGUAGUCUUGGAUGUAGCUGCCGUAGGAUCUUUAAAUAGUCUCCUUUAUCCAGCAGAUAGACCUCGUGAAACACCAGGCGUCGUGGGCGCGAAUUCCAGUCCCAAAGAUAACCUUGCAGUCCCACUACCACAAACCCCACAAGGUAAUGGUUACUCCUUAUGAUCCCUCCCUUCUUCUAAUUACCUCUAUGCCUUACGUGAUCUUUACUAAGUCUCUCCCCUCUUACAGUCUAAACUCAGAUAAAAGAUACCACCGCAGCUCUAAGUACUAUCUGUGUCCCUAUACGCAGAACUGUAUCUGUUAUACAGAAUACUCCUUGAUAAUCGUGACCUCCUUUCUUAUCCUUUACAAUUGUGACCCGAGUGGCUCUUACUACACUACUUCGAGGACUUCGUUUCCUUUAAGAGCAGUACCUCUAAUAGUAGACACCUUAUACUCGGUACAACAUAAACAGUCCUUCUCAUACACCUGCCACUGCUAGAGCCCUGCGAAGUGACGCCCGUACUGAAGGUACGGUCGACGUAGUCCGUUACCGAUCACCACUUCUUGGACACAGGCUAGACGUUUUCGUGGCGGGACUUCUGGAUUCUGUCGUCGUUCGGAGCAGCCUACAGGCAAGUUAGCUGGCGUUCUAGUAAAAUAACUAAGUAUUAUGGCGUUGAAAAACCGGUUUCCCAAAACGUAAGUGGAUUUCGAACUAUUUUUUUAAGGUUUUAAGGAACUUUUUUUCAAGGUCUUUUGACCAGUACCAAACUUUUGUUUUCUUACCAAGCUUUGACCAUAAUGGACAUUCGGCGACAGCACAGCGCCGUUUAUUAGGACCCUAGACACAGAUCAUGAGUAAACUGAUUUAUAAGUAGUACCUACGUACCGUAUUACCUACGAUCAAAUUUCUACUGUACAACCAUAGUGUAACAGCUAGAUGACAAAACAAUUCAACACG
RNAcentral lists this ribosomal RNA (2829 nucleotides) under Triticum aestivum (bread wheat). RNAcentral describes it as "partial small subunit ribosomal RNA". Lineage: Eukaryota; Viridiplantae; Streptophyta; Magnoliopsida; Poales; Poaceae. The record is from RNAcentral.